This 245-nucleotide ribosomal RNA is filed under the name uncultured bacterium. Its description in RNAcentral is "partial 16S ribosomal RNA". It matches the Rfam family "Bacterial small subunit ribosomal RNA", at positions 524 to 768 of the family's 1533-position model. The record is from RNAcentral.
UACAGAGGUGGCAAGCGUUGUUCGGAUUUACUGGGCGUAAAGGGUGCGUAGGUGGUCUCGUGCGUCGGGUGUGAAAUCCCACUGCUUAACGGUGGAACGUCAUCCGAAACUGCGGGACUCGAGUGCAGGAAGGGAGAGCGGAAUUCUUGGUGUAGCGGUGAAAUGCGUUGAUAUCAAGAAGAACACCGGUGGCGAAGGCGGCUCUCUGGAAUGUAACUGACACUGAGGCACGAAAGCUGGGGGAG